RNAcentral lists this transfer RNA (68 nucleotides) under Araneus ventricosus. It matches the Rfam family "tRNA". From Rfam's summary of the family: Transfer RNA (tRNA) molecules are approximately 80 nucleotides in length. Their secondary structure includes four short double-helical elements and three loops (D, anti-codon, and T loops). Lineage: Eukaryota; Metazoa; Arthropoda; Arachnida; Araneae; Araneidae. The record is from Rfam by way of RNAcentral.
GCCGAAAUAGCUAGAUGAGAGCGUUAGACUGAAGAUCUAAAGGUCCCUGGUUCGAUCCCGGUUUCGCA